CUGCGGCGGUGACGAGAAGGGCUCCCAGAGUCAGGGCUGCCCAGGCACGGGCGGUGGGAAGUGAGGCAAUUUUCUCCAGGCCCCGCAGGGUAUGUCGGAGGCUCCCCAUCCCCUGGUGUCUCAGCUGGUAAGGGGGCGGGGCUGCGUGCCGCAGCUGAGCGGCGGGAACUCAGGCCCAGCUGGAGACACCACACCGCUGCAGCACUGUCGGGGAGAGGGGGAUGAAUGGCUUUCACCUCCUCCUCAAGAGGUGAAUAACAUAUUGAAUGACGGAGGAAGGGGGAAAAUGGAAGAUAUUAAUCAUGCUGAUCAUUUCAUAUGAAGAUUUGAGAGUCUGAUACAAGUGGUGUUAGACCACUGUGCAGACUUCAACAGCUCUUCUUCCAGGCUUGUUCAGCUGAUUUUCCAUGAGCACAAGAUUUCUUCAUGAAGUGUGAGAAUUUUUACACAAUGAUUCUUUGAACAUAACAGAGUGUUGAUUUCCAAUAAGGAUCUGCCACAUCUCUGAGCACUUGGCAGAAGCUUGAUUAGGAAGAAAUAAAGACAGGAUAGCCGUUCUGUAUUUUAAAACAGCUGCUACAUCUUUUGUGUCCUCCUGAAAUCAAAGCAAAAUACCAGAAAUAAUGUGCCUUUAAGGGUCAUAUCAUGCCAGGUUGUUGGCAGUAUUCAUCAGAUGGAACUGAAAUUAAUCUACCACAUUUCAUGUCCUGAACAAACUGAUCUUCAGAGGAAAUUUUGAACCAUAUUAUUUACAACACCCACAUCCAGGGCCGGCUCUAGCCGUUUCGCCGCCCCAAGCACAGUGGCACGCCCCGGGAGCGCUCUGCCGCUCGCCGGUCCUGCGGCUCCGGUGGACCUCCUGCAGAUGUGCCUGCGGAUGCUCCACCGGAGCCCCAGGACCAGCGGACCCUCCACAGGCACGCCUGCGGGAGGUCCACCGGAGCCGCCUGCCGCCCUCUCGGCUACCGGCAGAGCGCCCCCUGCCACAUGCCGCCCCAAGCAUGCGCUUAGCGCGUUGGGGCCUGGAGCCGGCCCUGCCCACAUCAUACAGUUUUUGCCAGCUGAAUACCUGUGACCUAGUGGCUGGCUAGGUUUUCAGAAACCAUUUCAAUUUUCAAAGAUUUCCAGACACAAUCAGAUGUUACUAGUAAGUUGUUUGUUUCUAUUCAUAGCCUUAUGAAUGCGGUCUGAGUUAAGUAAUUACUUUCUAUUUGGCACCUAAAUUGGGAAACUAAAUUAUUCUCAUUGAUUCAUCCAAUUAUCACGGAGUAUUUCUGCCAGCCCAACAUGACUAACAUCUUUGUUGACAAGCAUUCAGAUGAAAGCAAUAUACACACCUCUAUAAAUGAGCUGUUAUCCUGAAGUCUGGAUAUCUGGAAUUUCGGUCUUUAUUCAUAAUGGCCAAUUCAUCAGGCAAGUUAUAAAGCUUCUAUACAGAAAACAUGAAGGAGUCUUGACAUAAAAUGUGUAGAGACUAGGAUAUUAUAUUGCCACAUUGUAUUUUGUCUUUCAGCUUCUUUUGUACCUAUAUAAUACACAUUGCAUUUUAUUAAUAUCCCUAUUAUAGCCUUUAUCAAAAUAAUAAUAGGUGUUAUCCCUUCAUGUACCCAAAUGUAUAACAGUUAACUGUGAUUAUUGAAAUAAUAUUUGUCUCGUCGAAGCAUAUUAAGAGAAAAACAGAGAUGUGAUAACUAUAUUGGGUACAACUUUGGUGGUUUACAAUAUUAAAUAAAACAGACGUGCUUUUUCAUUUAAGAUUAACAUUAUUCAUCUUUUAAGGGACAUGCUUUUAUAAUUGUUUGACUACAUAACAUGCCUGUUCAUGUAAAAGUCUUAUAUUAUUGCUUAUAAAACAUUACAAUAGGUGACAAUAUGUUAUGUAAUCUCACCUUGAAUCCAAACUACUAGAUUGUAAAUCCACAUGGCAGUACCGUAUAUUGAAAUGCCAUAUCUCCAUGUAUAGCAGCAAAUGCACAUUUAUUAUGUUUACUAUAUUCCCUCUGAUGCAGUUCUAAAUAGCCACAACAAAAUGUAAAGCACAAGGUCUAAAUGUUUAAUUGUAUAUCUAUUCAUGUUUAAAAUUUAAUUAAUAUCCUUUAUAGGGGUGAAAAAAACCCCACACCUGUCCUCAACAAACUCCACUAUUAUGACCAGUAUCAUUAAUAAGGAAGAUGUUUGACCCUACUAGCUAAGCUAUUUUAAGUGCAUGGCUUACCUAUGUCAUAAGAAACUUGAAGUAAAGUACAUUGCUCUGGGGCGUGAACUUGCUCAUAUUAAAGUCAACUGCAGUUUUGCUACUGACUUUACUAGGAGCAGGAUUGGACUCCUGGUUGUAAACUUGUCUGCUGCAAAAGGAAAUUACCCUAACCGAGCUCCUAUUCUAUUAUCCUGACUCAUCAUUUUCAAGUGUCUGCAAGAGGAUAAAUUGGUACAGUAUGCACAUUGCUACAGUAUUCACACUACUACAUUAUUGCAAGGAAUAUUGAUUUCCUUAACAUUAGUAUUCAUCAUUCUUUGUUUGAGACUUGUAUGCUCACUGAAAUUGAAUUGAUGUGAUUGCAUGUUUCUUGUAUGUGUGAAAAAUGUUGUUUAUCAGGUAACUGCAUUCUGCAGGUUACUUUGAAGUCAAAAUAUCAACUGUGCCGUU
Long non-coding RNA from Gopherus flavomarginatus (Mexican gopher tortoise), 2647 nucleotides. RefSeq lists it as uncharacterized. The transcript has 4 exons. The record is from RefSeq and is a predicted model, not a curated record. Lineage: Eukaryota; Metazoa; Chordata; Testudines; Testudinidae.